AUUGAACGCUGGCGGCAGGCCUAACACAUGCAAGUCGAGCGGAUGAAGGGAGCUUGCUCCUGGAUUCAGCGGCGGACGGGUGAGUAAUGCCUAGGAAUCUGCCUGGUAGUGGGGGAUAACGUCCGGAAACGGGCGCUAAUACCGCACACGUCCUGAGGGAGAAAGUGGGGGAUCUUCGGACCUCACGCUAUCAGAUGAGCCUAGGUCGGAUUAGCUAGUUGGUGGGGUAAAGGCCUACCAAGGCGACGAUCCGUAACUGGUCUGAGAGGAUGAUCAGUCACACUGGAACUGAGACACGGUCCAGACUCCUACGGGAGGCAGCAGUGGGGAAUAUUGGACGAAGGGCGAAAGCCUGAUCCAGCCAUGCCGCGUGUGUGAAGAAGGUCUUCGGAUUGUAAAGCACUUUAAGUUGGGAGGAAGGGCAGUAAGUUAAUACCUUGCUGUUUUGACGUUACCAACAGAAUAAGCACCGGCUAACUUCGUG
Molecule: ribosomal RNA, 484 nt
Filed under: uncultured bacterium
Lineage: Bacteria
Description: partial 16S ribosomal RNA
Rfam family: Bacterial small subunit ribosomal RNA
Source: RNAcentral